This 328-nucleotide ribosomal RNA is filed under the name uncultured eukaryote. Its description in RNAcentral is "partial 18S ribosomal RNA". It matches the Rfam family "Eukaryotic small subunit ribosomal RNA", at positions 1470 to 1796 of the family's 1831-position model. The record is from RNAcentral.
CCCUUAGAUGCUCUGGGCCGCACGCGCGCUACACUGGUCGAUGCAACGAGUUUCUUUCCUUGGCCGACAGGCCUGGGCAAUCUUUGAACAUCGAUCGUGAUCGGGAUAGAUUCUUGUAAUUUUUGAUCUUAAACGAGGAAUUCCUAGUAAACGCAAGUCAUCAGCUUGCAUUGAUUACGUCCCUGCCCUUUGUACACACCGCCCGUCGCACCUACCGAUUGAAUGGUCCGGUGAAGCGUUCGGACCGUGGCCUUUGGACGGUUCGCCGUCUGUUGGCUGCGGGAAGUUCGUUAAACCUUAUCAUUUAGAGGAAGGAGAANUCGUANCA